GUGCUUAACACAUGCAAGUCGAACGGAAAGGCCCUGCUUUUGUGGGGUGCUCGAGUGGCGAACGGGUGAGUAACACGUGAGUAACCUGCCCUUGACUUUGGGAUAACUUCAGGAAACUGGGGCUAAUACCGGAUAGGAGCUCCUGCUGCAUGGUGGGGGUUGGAAAGUUUCGGCGGUUGGGGAUGGACUCGCGGCUUAUCAGCUUGUUGGUGGGGUAGUGGCUUACCAAGGCUUUGACGGGUAGCCGGCCUGAGAGGGUGACCGGCCACAUUGGGACUGAGAUACGGCCCAGACUCCUACGGGAGGCAGCAGUGGGGAAUAUUGCACAAUGGGCGGAAGCCUGAUGCAGCAACGCCGCGUGCGGGAUGACGGCCUUCGGGUUGUAAACCGCUUUCGCCUGUGACGAAGCGUGAGUGACGGUAAUGGGUAAAGAAGCACCGGCUAACUACGUGCCAGCAGCCGCGGUGAUACGUAGGGUGCGAGCGUUGUCCGGAUUUAUUGGGCGUAAAGGGCUCGUAGGUGGUUGAUCGCGUCGGAAGUGUAAUCUUGGGGCUUAACCCUGAGCGUGCUUUCGAUACGGGUUGACUUGAGGAAGGUAGGGGAGAAUGGAAUUCCUGGUGGAGCGGUGGAAUGCGCAGAUAUCAGGAGGAACACCAGUGGCGAAGGCGGUUCUCUGGGCCUUUCCUGACGCUGAGGAGCGAAAGCGUGGGGAGCGAACAGGCUUAGAUACCCUGGUAGUCCACGCUGUAAACGGUGGGUACUAGGUGUGGGGUCCAUUCCACGGGUUCCGUGCCGUAGCUAACGCUUUAAGUACCCCGCCUGGGGAGUACGGCCGCAAGGCUAAAACUCAAAGGAAUUGACGGGGCCCCGCACAAGCGGCGGAGCAUGCGGAUCAAUUCGAUGCAACGCGUAGAACCUUACCUGGGUUUGACAUGGAUCGGGAGUGCUCAGAGAUGGGUGUGCCUCUUUUGGGGUCGGUUCACAGGUGGUGCAUGGCUGUCGUCAGCUCGUGUCGUGAGAUGUUGGGUUAAGUCCCGCAACGAGCGCAACCCUUGUUCACUGUUGCCAGCACGUUAUGGUGGGGACUCAGUGGAGACCGCCGGGGUCAACUCGGAGGAAGGUGGGGAUGACGUCAAGUCAUCAUGCCCCUUAUGUCCAGGGCUUCACGCAUGCUACAAUGGCUGGUACAGAGAGUGGCGAGCCUGUGAGGGUGAGCGAAUCUCGGAAAGCCGGUCUCAGUUCGGAUUGGGGUCUGCAACUCGACCUCAUGAAGUCGGAGUCGCUAGUAAUCGCAGAUCAGCAACGCUGCGGUGAAUACGUUCCCGGGGCUUGUACACACCGCCCGUCAAGUCAUGAAAGUUGGUAACACCCGAAGCCGGUGGCCUAACCGUUGUGGGGGAGCCGUCGAAGGUGGGACUGGUGAUUAGGACU
Molecule: ribosomal RNA, 1431 nt
Filed under: uncultured organism
Description: partial small subunit ribosomal RNA
Rfam family: Bacterial small subunit ribosomal RNA
Source: RNAcentral